This 449-nucleotide ribosomal RNA is filed under the name uncultured bacterium. RNAcentral's name for it is "bacterial SSU rRNA". It matches the Rfam family "Bacterial small subunit ribosomal RNA", at positions 355 to 796 of the family's 1533-position model. The record is from RNAcentral.
UGGGGAAUAUUGGACAAUGGGGGCAACCCUGAUCCAGCAAUGCCGCGUGUGUGAAGAAGGCCUUCGGGUUGUAAAGCACUUUUAUCAGGAACGAAAUCUGCAGGGUUAAUACCCAUGCAGUCUGACGGUACCUGAGGAAUAAGCACCGGCUAACUUCGUGCCAGCAGCCGCGGUAAUACGAAGGGUGCAAGCGUUACUCGGAAUUACUGGGCGUAAAGGGUGCGUAGGUGGUCGUUUAAGUCCGUUGUGAAAUCCCUGGGCUCAACCUGGGAAUGGCAGUGGAUACUGGACGGCUAGAAUGCGGUAGAGGGUAGUGGAAUUCCCGGUGUAGCAGUGAAAUGCGUAGAGAUCGGGAGGAACACCAGUGGCGAAGGCGGCUACCUGGACCAGCAUUGACACUCAAGCACGAAAGCGUGGGGAGCAAACAGGAUUAGAUACCCCCGUAGUCC